UACGGAGGGUGCAAGCGUUAUCCGGAUUCACUGGGUUUAAAGGGAGCGCAGGCAGUUUUGUAAGUCAGUGGUGAAAGGCUUAAGCUUAACUUGGGAACUGCCAUUGAUACUAUAAGUCUUGAAUGUUGUUGAGGUUUGCGGAAUGGGUCAUGUAGCGGUGAAAUGCAUAGAUAUGACCCGGAACACCUAUUGCGAAGGCAGCAGGCUAAACAAAUAUUGACGCUGAGGCUCGAAAGCGUGGGGAUCAAACAGG
RNAcentral lists this ribosomal RNA (253 nucleotides) under uncultured bacterium. RNAcentral describes it as "partial 16S ribosomal RNA". It matches the Rfam family "Bacterial small subunit ribosomal RNA", at positions 524 to 776 of the family's 1533-position model. The record is from RNAcentral.